CUAGCAAGAAACAAAGAAGUAUUCAUGUAGACAUCCAUAUGAGAGAGGAGUGCCAGGACAUGGUGGGAGUGGCGGUAACAUCCAGCGUAUGGACUGAAACCCAACUGAAACAAGAGUGAUGCUCACGUUGUCAGAGUGGGAAGGGAAGAGUGGUGCCCAGCAAUUUUGAUACAGCCAGAAGACGAAUCAGUGAUGUCUAGGAAAUGUCACAUGCCCAUCGACAAGGUUUGAGACAGCCAGAGUGAUGUUCCUACAGGAGGACAGCUGCCUGGAUGUUGACCCUUUGCUAAGGGCAAAAGGCAAUCUUAGCUUAACAUUAUCUGGACAUCAUGGAUGCGAAUAGGCUUCAAGUCUAAACUAACUAAUUCAUCUGGUGAUGAAUUAGCAAUCUGUUCCCAUGCUGAAAGGAAAACUGGGUGUGUUGAUCUUAUUGAGUGAUGAUGUCUUCUGAAGAUAUUCCCAAAGAAUUUUAAAUGACUUUUUAGAAACUCUCAGUCUCUGUAUACAAUAAGAUGGCCAUCAUUGUCCUCUGCAAUCUAAACCACCUCUUGGACUGCUGAUUCUUUUGGUCUGAAAGGGACAGCCUCAGGCCAUGUGACAGUAUUCACCUCAAGGCUACAAUUGAUUGAAUCCAAGUGACUCAAUCCAUCGUUUGGGCUGAGAAAGAGUCUUUUUCUUAAUACUUUAAAUAAAAGAUAGUAAAACCAAGUCAA
Molecule: long non-coding RNA, 713 nt
Organism: Suricata suricatta (meerkat)
Lineage: Eukaryota; Metazoa; Chordata; Mammalia; Carnivora; Herpestidae
Exons: 4
Source: RefSeq, a predicted model, not a curated record